This is an RNA transcript of Orcinus orca (killer whale), 940 nucleotides long. RefSeq lists it as uncharacterized. The record is from RefSeq and is a predicted model, not a curated record. The transcript has 3 exons. Lineage: Eukaryota; Metazoa; Chordata; Mammalia; Artiodactyla; Delphinidae.
GGAGCGGUUGCAGCCGGCCCGAUGCCCACCCCGGCUCAUCGCGGCUGCUCCUCCGGGUCCCGUCGCAGCGCCGCUGGCGGAGGCUGGGAAGAUCCAGCGCCGCCCGCCCGGCCUCUGGGCAGUGGACUAAGGGGCUCCGCGUUGCGAGAAGUCGGCUGACUGAGAGCUGGGCUCGCCACACCCGGUCUCGGGAGACGUCUGCGGGAGGCUUCUGCAUCUCUUCGCCUUGGGCUGCGAUUUCUAGGGCGCUGCCGGGGAUCCACUCCGUGCUCUGAGCCGGGCCUGCUGGGGCGGGAGAGCGCUCGGGAGCCCCUCGGGUGGGAGCAGGGGCCGGGGGUGUUCAGGAAAGGUGUUGCGGGGGAAAAGGAAUCUUCACUAUUGAGAACGGUGUCUAGGGAUCUGAAUAGACCUGUUGGAGGAAGUGAAAUCUGAGCGGAGCCCUGAGGGGGGCGGCUAAUCUCCGGCAGCUGUGGGCAUUGGACGAGUAGAGGGAGGGAAAGGGGACCUCUGGAGAAGGAGACCUUGAGCCUCGCGCUGGAGGUGUACUCAGCAGGUCCCUGAUGAACCAAGGGAACCCUCCACCGUAUCCAGGGCCCGGUCCGACGGCUCCGUACCCACCUUAUCCACAGCAGCCGAUGGGGCCUGAGGGCUACCCUCCAGGACCUAUGGGGGGACCCUACCCACCUCCUCAGGGGUACCCCUACCAAGGAUACCCACAGUACGGCUGGCCGGGCGGACCUCAGGAGCCUCCUAAAAGCACAGUGUACGUGGAGCAGGAAAGGAAGACGGACGACACCGGGUGUCUGGCGGCCCUGGCCGCGUGCUGGGCUGCUCUCUGCUGCUGCUGCCUCCUGGACAACUUGGACUGAGCAGCCGAGACCCAAGUGCUCCCUGCAGGCCUGCCUACCUUCUGUUACUGGAAUAAACUACUAGUGCUGCA